GACGAACGCUGGCGGCGUGCUUAACACAUGCAAGUCGAACGGAAAGGCCCUGCUUGCAGGGUACUCGAGUGGCGAACGGGUGAGUAACACGUGGGUGAUCUGCCCUGCACUUCGGGAUAAGCCUGGGCAACUGGGUCUAAUACCGGAUAGGAGCCAUUUUUAGUGUGAUGGUUGGAAAGUUUUUUCGGUGUAGGAUGAGCUCGCGGCCUAUCAGCUUGUUGGUGGGGUAAUGGCCUACCAAGGCGGCGACGGGUAGCCGGCCUGAGAGGGUGGACGGCCACAUUGGGACUGAGAGACGGCCCAGACGCCUACGGGAGGCAGCAGUGGGGAAUAUUGCACAAUGGGCGCAAGCCUGAUGCAGCGACGCCGCGGGGGGGAGGACGGCCUUCGGGUUGUAAACUCCUUUCGCUAGGGACGAAGCUUUUUGUGACGGUACCUAGAUAAGAAGCACCGGCUAACUACGUG
RNAcentral lists this ribosomal RNA (465 nucleotides) under uncultured bacterium. RNAcentral describes it as "partial 16S ribosomal RNA". It matches the Rfam family "Bacterial small subunit ribosomal RNA", at positions 28 to 507 of the family's 1533-position model. The record is from RNAcentral.